UACGAAGGGGGCUAGCGUUGUUCGGAAUUACUGGGCGUAAAGCGUAUGCAGGCGGAUCGUUAAGUCGGGGGUGAAAUCCCGAGGCUCAACCUCGGAACUGCCUUCGAUACUGGCGACCUUCGAGUCCGGGAGAGGUGAGUGGAACUCCGAGUGUAGAGGUGAAAUUCGUAGAUAUUCGGAAGAACACCAGUGGCGAAGGCGGCUCACUGGCCCGGUACUGACGCUGAGAUACGGAAGCGUGGGGAGCAAACAGG
This 254-nucleotide ribosomal RNA is filed under the name uncultured bacterium. RNAcentral describes it as "partial 16S ribosomal RNA". It matches the Rfam family "Bacterial small subunit ribosomal RNA", at positions 524 to 776 of the family's 1533-position model. The record is from RNAcentral.